Malaya genurostris is the source of this 138-nucleotide small nuclear RNA. RefSeq annotates it as U4 spliceosomal RNA. Lineage: Eukaryota; Metazoa; Arthropoda; Insecta; Diptera; Culicidae. The record is from RefSeq and is a predicted model, not a curated record. The transcript has a single exon.
AGCUUUGCGCAGUGGCGAUAUCGUAACCAAUGAGGUUCAACCGAGGUAUGAUUAUUGCUAGUUGAAAACUAAUCUGGUCAAAAUCUACGUGCUAUUCGAUAUUUAUGGUGAAGUUGAUCAUUGUGCUUAAAGAAAACG